Molecule: ribosomal RNA, 506 nt
Filed under: uncultured bacterium
Lineage: Bacteria
Description: partial 16S ribosomal RNA
Rfam family: Bacterial small subunit ribosomal RNA
Source: RNAcentral
GAUGAACGCUAGCGGCAGGCCUAACACAUGCAAGUCGAAGGGCAGCACAUAAAGUGGUUUACUACUUUUGGUGGCGACCGGCGGACGGGUGCGUAACGCGUAUGCAACCUGCCUCCAACAGGGGGAUAACGGAGAGAAAUUUCCACUAAUACCCCAUAAUAUCAGAAUCGGCAUCGGUGUUGGUUGAAAACUCCGGUGGUCGGAGAUGGGCAUGCGUUGUAUUAGAUAGUUGGUGAGGUAACGGCUCACCAAGUCAACGAUACAUAGGGGGACUGAGAGGUUAGCCCCCCACACUGGUACUGAGACACGGACCAGACUCCUACGGGAGGCAGCAGUGAGGAAUAUUGGUCAAUGGGGGCAACCCUGAACCAGCCAUGCCGCGUGCAGGAAGACGGCUCUAUGAGUUGUAAACUGCUUUUACAAGGGGAUAAAUCGGUGUACGUGUACACCGUUGAAGGUACCUUGGGAAUAAGGAUCGGCUAACUCCGUGCCAGCCGCCGCAGUAA